AACAUUUUAGCGUAUUUGGAAAGGGAAACGAAAAGAACAGAGAAACCAAAAAUCCUUCUCAUUUCUUCCCCUGCGCCCGAAUCGCGCCCCUGUUCUUCCCGAUUCUGAAGCAUCAACAUCGUCCUCCGCCAUGAUCCGGUUCAUCCUGCUGCAAAACCGGCAGGGGAAGACGCGGCUGGCCAAGUACUACGUCCCGCUCGAGGACUCGGAGAAGCACAAGGUCGAGUACGAGGUGCAUCGGCUUGUGGUCAAC
Molecule: long non-coding RNA, 253 nt
Organism: Panicum virgatum (switchgrass)
Lineage: Eukaryota; Viridiplantae; Streptophyta; Magnoliopsida; Poales; Poaceae
Exons: 3
Source: RefSeq, a predicted model, not a curated record